AACUGAUAAACAAAUGAUAUUUAUUUAUAACUAUUUGAUUCUUAAACAUUUAUCUUGUUAUAGGUUCUUCUAUCCUUCUGUAGGCCAAAGUUAAGUUGUAUGUGUAUAUACACUUUGAAAAGUCCACCAACUUGUUUAGGUGAGGAAAGUGCAAUUUAUCAUACUGAUGGUGGGAAGUACAGACAGGUGAUGAUACUUGCAAAAAGUUUCCUGCAAUCUUGCAUCGUCACCCAGGCUACAGUGCAGUGGUGAGAUCCUGGCUCACUGCAACCUCUGCCUCCCAGGUUCAAGCAAUUCUCCUGCCUCAGCCACCCAAGUAGCUGGAACUACAAGGCAUGCACCACCAUGCCCAGCUAAUUUUUGAUUUUUCAGUAGAAAUGGAGUCUCAACAUGCUGGUCAGGCUGGUCUUAAAUCCUGGCCGCAAGAGAUCUGACCGCCUCGGCCUCCCAAAGUGCUGGGAUUACAGGCAUAAUCCAGUGCACCCAGCCCUGAUUCAGUGACUAUUGAAACCCCAGGAAUUCAAGGAUAAUAUCAGGAUUUAGGAAUGUGAACUGCUUAAAAUCACAAAGUAAUAGUAGUGGUUUCUAUUGCCCAUUUUAAAGUAUCUACAAAAUCACUUUUUUGGUGUUAUAAUUCUUUUAACAAGUACGUUGAAUAAAGGAAUAUAGUUAAGUACUGGCACUAAAUAAAAACUGCUACCAAAUAUUUGACUUAUAAGACCAUUAUUAUUAUUAUUAUUAUUCAUGUGUUAUUAUUUUUCAUGGAGUUUUGAAGACCAAAAAUAUCUGAAAAACAUUUUAAUCUGGCCAGUUGAAAACUAGUGAAUUUCAACCAGAUGUUUUUAAUACCACUUUAAAAAUAAACUGCAGCCAUUUUAUUA
RNAcentral lists this long non-coding RNA (881 nucleotides) under Homo sapiens (human). RNAcentral describes it as "HSALNT0376918". The record is from RNAcentral. Lineage: Eukaryota; Metazoa; Chordata; Mammalia; Primates; Hominidae.